ACCUAUCUUGCAUCAAGAUUGGAACUAUCUUCAAACAGACAAAAUCAAGGUUCCACAUGAGCCUCUUCACCAAGGAGUACCCUCGCAUGCGUCCAAAAUAGUUUCUUAGCCUAUGGUGCAUUUGGCACAAACCGUGUACCUAUCUUGCACCGAAACUAACACUAUCUCCAAAGAGACCGAAGUGAGAUUCUAUAUGACACACGUCAUCAAGGAGUUCUAUUGGGUGCUUCCAAAUAUAUUUCUAAGCAUAUGGUACGUUCGAUGCAAUUCGUGCACCUAUCUUGCAACAAGAUUAGCACUAUCUCCAAACAAAGAAAACUGAGCUUCCACUUGAGCCCCGUUACCCAGGAGUAUCAUCGGGUGCAUCCAAAAUGGUUUCUUAGCCUAUGAUGCAUUAGGCGCAAACUGUGUACCUAUCUUGCACCAAAGCUAACUCUGUCUCCAAAUAGACCAAAGCGAGAUUACAUAUGACACAUGUCAUCUAGGAGUUCUAUUGUGAUGCAUCCAAAUAGAUUUCUUAGCAUAUGGUAUGUUCCAUGAAAACCGUGAACCUAUCUUGCAUCAAGAUUAGCACUAUCUCCAAACAGAUCGAACCGACCUUCCACUUGAGCCUCUUCACCUAGGAGUAUUAUCGGAUGCUUCCAUAAUGGUUUCCGAGACUAUGGUGCAUUAUACGCAAGCCAUGCACCAAUCUUGCACCUAAACUGUCUCCAAACAGAUUGAAGCGAGAUUCCAUAUGACACACAUGAUCUAGGAGUUCUAUCGGGUGCGUCGAAAUUGAUUUCUGAGAAUACGGUACGUUCCAUGUAAACCGUACACCUAUCUUUCAUCAAGAUUAGCACUAUCUCCAAACAGACCGAACCGAGCUUUCACUUG
Molecule: long non-coding RNA, 876 nt
Filed under: Sorghum bicolor (sorghum)
Lineage: Eukaryota; Viridiplantae; Streptophyta; Magnoliopsida; Poales; Poaceae
Description: long non-coding RNA (SBIC_LNC018564)
Source: RNAcentral